This 73-nucleotide transfer RNA is filed under the name Rhizomucor miehei CAU432. RNAcentral's name for it is "tRNA-Arg (TCG) (tRNA-Arg-TCG-1-1)". It matches the Rfam family "tRNA". Rfam says of the family: Transfer RNA (tRNA) molecules are approximately 80 nucleotides in length. Lineage: Eukaryota; Fungi; Mucoromycota; Mucoromycetes; Mucorales; Lichtheimiaceae. The record is from RNAcentral.
GGCUCCUUAGCGUAAUGGAUAACGCGUCUGACUUCGAAUCAGGAGAUUGUGGGUUCGAGUCCCACAGGAGUCG